This 412-nucleotide long non-coding RNA is filed under the name Piliocolobus tephrosceles (Ugandan red Colobus). RNAcentral's name for it is "lncRNA (ENSPTEG00000015052.1)". The record is from RNAcentral. Lineage: Eukaryota; Metazoa; Chordata; Mammalia; Primates; Cercopithecidae.
UAUAUAUAUAUAUAUAUAUAUAUAUAUAUAUAUAUACAUAUAUAUACGUAUAUAUACGUAUAAAUUAAACGUUAAAGGUAUAAAUUAAAAGAAUAUGCAAGUGGUUUUUCACCUGUUCAUUUGUUCAUUUGUUCAUCCGUUGGCCAGCUCCUCUAUUAGAUUGCUUAUAAAAAUAAUUUUUUUUUUUUUUUUUUUUUUUUUUUUUUUUUUUUUUUUUUUUUUUUUUUUUUUUUUUUCAUAUUUUUAUUAUAAAAAAUAUAUAUAUAUAUGUGUAUAUAUAAUUUAAUAUACUGACAUAUUUACCAGCUACGUUUACACAUUUACAAGCUACGUUUAUUUUUCUUCCUUUUUAAAUCAACAUACACAUAUAUAUAAAAAUAAAACAGAAAAAAAAAUAAAAUAAAAAUAAAAA